GAUGAACGCUGGCGGCGUGCCUAAUACAUGCAAGUCGAACGCACAGCGAAAGGUGCUUGCACCUUUCAAGUGAGUGGCGAACGGGUGAGUAACACGUGGACAACCUGCCUCAAGGCUGGGGAUAACAUUUGGAAACAGAUGCUAAUACCGAAUAAAACUUAGUGUCGCAUGACACAAAGUUAAAAGGCGCUUCGGCGUCACCUAGAGAUGGAUCCGCGGUGCAUUAGUUAGUUGGUGGGGUAAAGGCCUACCAAGACAAUGAUGCAUAGCCGAGUUGAGAGACUGAUCGGCCACAUGGGGACUGAGACACAGCCCAAACGCCUACGGGAGGCUGCAGUAGGGAAUCUUCCACAAUGGGCGAAAGCCUGAUGGAGCAACGCCGCGUGUGUGAUGAAGGCUUUCGGGUCGUAAAGCACUGUUGUAUGGGAAGAACAGCUAGAAUAGGAAAUGAUUUUAGUUUGACGGUACCAUACCAGAAAGGGACGGCUAAAUACGUG
This 497-nucleotide ribosomal RNA is filed under the name uncultured bacterium. RNAcentral describes it as "partial 16S ribosomal RNA". It matches the Rfam family "Bacterial small subunit ribosomal RNA", at positions 28 to 507 of the family's 1533-position model. The record is from RNAcentral.